Molecule: ribosomal RNA, 1705 nt
Filed under: Triticum aestivum (bread wheat)
Lineage: Eukaryota; Viridiplantae; Streptophyta; Magnoliopsida; Poales; Poaceae
Description: partial small subunit ribosomal RNA
Source: RNAcentral
AGGGUGGACGGGUGAGGGUAGGUGAACGACGGGUGAGAGUGGGUGUGGGAGAGUAAGGGGAGGGAGCAGCGGAGAGGCGUAGCGGCGGCCGGUGGCGUCGGGUAACGCAAGAGUGAGGCCGUCGGGUGGCACAAGAAGGAGGACGUCGGGUCGCGAACGAAGGAGAGGAAGGAAAGGGUGGCGAACGAAGGAGAGGAAGGAAAGGGUAGGGCUCCAGUUUUCUCACUAAAAAAUACGCGGCCACUUCUCGAAGACCCGCCGCCUCGACCACACCCGCGGCUGCGGCCUAGGCGCACGCGCAUGCGAUCUAGACCCGCUGCCUCGCCUCGUCGCCUCACCGGGGGCCCUUCCUACGGAACCGGCCGACGCCCCCGGGACCCACCCCGACGCGCAGAUACGCCGCUGGAGUAGCUCUGGUUCUUCGGCCGCAGCCACUACGACGACGUGUAGCUACUGGAGGAGGGAGAGUACACACGGGCGGCAGCACGUGGCACUGUCAGCUACGUCCCUCUCCUCCUGCUGGGGUCGGUACCUCGUCGUUGUUGACUUCAAAUUCCAGUUUCACUACCAGUACCCACUUUAAUCCCUGCUACGGGUCGUCGUUGUUGAGUGGUUGUGGACGAGGUUGCGGUACCUGGUUGUCGUCGUUGACUUCCUACACCCACUCCUUUCGCCUGUACGAGCUACCUGGCUGUUCCACCACUUCCUACUCGAACAAGUGACACAUACUAGGUAGGUACGGGGAAGACAAAACGACAAACAGUUGUGUGUAACAUGACAUACAAAUGUACGACAGUUACGAGUCACUCCAGACAAAGUUGCGAAUCGGUGAUCACAGUACAAAGACAGAUGACAGAAAGUACAAUUACGCAAAGUGUGACUUACAAAAACUGACAAAUUAAACCAUGUCCGAGUACAAUGGUUUUACCUCAUACCAUGUUUGAUUUUACUAGUAACGAAAUGAGAUGAGGAUUAGGUAAAAUAAGAUAUAAAACUAGUAAAGUGUAACUCAUAAACUCAACUGUCACUGUAGUAGAAAUAUCCCUUCUACUCCUUCGAGUGGCUGACGUAGAAGCAGCCGUAGUCACGGGAGCACGUACAGCUACAGUAGAAGUGGUCCUAGUUACGAGAACACGUACAGCUAUAGUAGCUAUAGUAGAAGUAGCCCUGGCUGAGGAGGUCCAACAACACAGCACGACCUCUACGACGGACGAAGCUCGACAACGACAACGACGGAUGAAGUUCGGGAGGUCCUCCGCUAGACCUGGUUCACCCCUCCGAUAGACGUCGUCAUGGACCUCGACGUACCCUCCCGCGCCGCUAGACCUGGACCCCGACGGUUAGACUUCGCCAUGGGGGAGGCCGCUCGUCAUGGAGCUAGACUUCGUCAUGAGAGACCUCGACCGCUCCGGAACCCUCCCCCUGUUGCUAGACGUCGUCGUGGGGGAGGCUGCUCCGCUCAACCACUCCGGGGGAGGUCGCCGUCCCCCGACCUAACCGCGUCCGCUGUCCCCCCACCGGGACCCUCUCCCCGCUGGGACCGCUGUCCUUCGUUCGUCGUCGCCGCUGACCCUACCUCUCCUAGACGAGCCGCUCCUUCUGCUGCCGUUAUCGCUAAGUUUAAUCCCCGUGAAGACAUGAAAGGAGGGAAAAGUGGACCAGCCCUGCAAAAAAUUUUGCAGUAUAUAAAGCCUUGCCUCCCUCA